This 1115-nucleotide long non-coding RNA is filed under the name Oryctolagus cuniculus (rabbit). Its description in RNAcentral is "lncRNA (ENSOCUG00000030595.1)". The record is from RNAcentral. Lineage: Eukaryota; Metazoa; Chordata; Mammalia; Lagomorpha; Leporidae.
AUUUGUAUUAAUGCUUCCUCUCAAUGUCAUAAACUUAGAAAUUGUGCGAAUUUAUUUUAUUAAAUAUUUUAGGUUCAUGCAUCUAUUAAAAUGUGUUGUUCACAGUGACAACUUUUUAAAGCAUUUUUCCAGACCAUGUAAGCUUUAUAUUUUCCAUAAAAAUAAAAUGGCAACUAUGAGGAAGAGCAGAAAAAAAUGACGUCGGGGGAAAUUUACCACUGUGCCUGCCUCCGCUCCCCUGACCCAUGCUCUGCCCUCACAGCUUCAGGGAGGGGUCAGCACAGAGUGGGAGCGCUGACUUGUCUCAGUCAGCUUUCCACUCUGCAUCUUAGGGACGCCCAGCUCCUCACUCGCCAUGGGCAGUGCAGGGUGUGUGUGUGUGUGUGUGUGCGUGUGCUGCACUCUCUCAGUGUCAGGCAUGUGUGUGCACACACAGUACUCUCCCAGUACUGUGCAUGUGUGUGUGUGUGUGUGCGUGUGCUGCACUCUCUCAGUGUCAUGCAUGUGUGUGCACACACAGUACUCUCUCAGUACCAUGCUUGUGUGUGUGUGUGUGUGCGUGUGCUGCACUCUCAGUGUCAGGCAUGUGUGUGCACACACAGUACUCUCCCAGUGCCGUGCAUGUGUCCGUGUGCACCCACAGUACUCUCCCAGUGCUGUGCAGAUGUGUCUGUGUGCACACACAGUACUCUCCCAGUGCCACAUAUAUGUGUCUGCGUGCACACACAGUACUCUCUCAGUGCCGUGCAGAUGUGUCCCUGUGCACACACAGUACUCUCUCAGUGCCACGCGUGUGUGUGUGUGUGCGUGUGCUGCACUCUCUCAGUGUCAGGCAUGUGUGUGCACACACAGUACUCUCUCAGUGCCAUGUAUAUGUAGGUGUGUGUGUGCACAGUAUUCUCUCAGUGCCAUGCAUAUCUGUGUCAUCUGCACACACAGUACUCUCACUGGCAUGCAUACAUGUGUGUGCACACCCAGGAUUCUCUCAGUGCCGUGUGUGCACAUACAGGACUCCCAGUUUCCUGACCAAGGUGUCAUCAGACUUUCAAUCCAGGACAGUGUUGAUCUGAGCUGCCCGUGCCUGAGCCCCAGACUAUUAAGGAAGUAGCAAAUUA